Molecule: RNA transcript, 2927 nt
Organism: Myotis myotis
Lineage: Eukaryota; Metazoa; Chordata; Mammalia; Chiroptera; Vespertilionidae
Gene: DNAJC11
Gene name: DnaJ heat shock protein family (Hsp40) member C11
Exons: 16
Source: RefSeq, a predicted model, not a curated record
CAAAAUUUCACUACUAUCAAUGAGUGAAGGCACUUCCCAUACUGAUAAGUGGAAUCCCUGUGAAACAUGUCCUCUUGCUUGCGUCAUUUUGUGUGGCCUUUGCCAACAAACUCCAGGUAAAAGGUGUGCUGUGCCAACUUUAUCUCCUGAUUCUGUAGGAUACGCUCUGAAGGGUGUUCUCUGGACUUGACAUUUACUAGGACCUUUUUGUGAAAUCAGAGGCAACCUGAAGUGAAAACAACAUUUAGUUGGAGAGUUAGAGAAAAAAUAGAAGCAAUCUUAUUUCUUACAUGUGUGCUUGGAAGUGGAAAACAUCUGUUUUGUUUGCCGCUAGUUUUUGAUGCCACAUCAGUAUAACUGUAGGAGGUGAGGUCCUCUUCCCACCAGGACAUCUCAGUACGUUCACGCAGUGCUCAGGAAGUUCAGAGACUUCCCUAGGAGUCUCAAAUGGAAGCAGCCUGGGAAUUCUAGUUAAAAAUCUAAAAAUUGGAAAGAAUAACUAGGUAAAUAAAUAAAUGUGUAAAAAUUAGAAUCCGAAUACAUAGUUAUAAUUGGAGUCAUUAGACAUUUCAAAAAUAGCUUAAGAGUCUUCCUUCAGCCUGGCCAGGUGGCUCAUUGGUUGGAGCAUCAUCCCUGUAUGUCGAGGUUGCAGAUUUGAUCCCCUGUCAGCACACAUAUAAGAGACACCCAAAGAAUGCAUGGAUAAGUGGAACAACAGGCCGCCUCGGAAGAGCUGAAAGCUGCCUACCGCAGGCUGUGCAUGCUGUACCACCCCGACAAGCACAGAGACCCCGAGCUCAAGUCGCAGGCCGAGCGGCUGUUUAACCUCGUCCACCAGGCUUAUGAAGUGCUUAGCGACCCGCAGACCCGGGCCAUCUAUGACAUCUAUGGGAAGAGAGGCCUGGAGAUGGAAGGAUGGGAGGUUGUGGAAAGGAGGAGAACGCCCGCCGAAAUCAGAGAAGAAUUUGAGCGACUGCAGAGAGAGCGGGAAGAGAGGAGGCUGCAGCAGCGAACCAACCCCAAGGGGACCAUCAGCGUCGGCAUCGAUGCCACUGACCUCUUCGAUCGCUAUGAGGAGGAGUACGAAGAUGUGUCCGGCAGUGGCUUUCCGCAGAUUGAAAUUAACAAGAUGCACAUAUCCCAGUCCAUCGAGGCACCCUUGACAGCGACGGACACAGCCAUCCUCUCUGGAAGCCUCUCGACCCAGAAUGGGAAUGGAGGGGGUUCCAUUAACUUCGCGCUCAGACGGGUCACCUCUGCGAAGGGAUGGGGAGAGUUAGAAUUUGGAGCUGGGGAUCUGCAGGGGCCUCUCUUUGGUCUAAAGCUGUUCCGUAACCUCACGCCCAGAUGCUUUGUGACGACCAACUGUGCGCUGCAGUUUUCGUCCCGGGGGAUCCGGCCUGGCCUCACCACUGUCCUGGCUCGGAACCUGGACAAAAACACCGUGGGCUACCUGCAGUGGCGGUGGGGCAUCCAGUCGGCCAUGAACACAAGCAUCGUCCGGGACACCAAAACCAGCCACUUGACCGUGGCCCUGCAGCUCGGAAUCCCUCACUCCUUUGCCCUGAUUAGCUAUCAGCACAAAUUCCAGGAUGAUGAUCAGACUCGCGUGAAAGGCUCCCUGAAGGCAGGCUUCUUCGGGACGGUGGUGGAGUACGGGGCGGAGAGGAAGAUCUCCAGGCACAGCGUGCUGGGGGCCGCUGUCAGCAUCGGCGUCCCGCAGGGCGUUUCUCUCAAAGUCAAGUUGAACAGGGCCAGUCAGACUUACUUCUUCCCUAUUCAUUUGACGGAUCAGCUUCUUCCCAGCGCCGUGUUCUACGCCACCGUGGGGCCCCUCGUGGUCUACUUCGCUAUGCACCGUCUCAUCAUCAAGCCAUACCUCAGGGCUCAGAAGGAGAGGGAAUUGGAAAAGCAAAGGGAAAACACAGCUACCGACAUCCUGCAGAAGAAGCAAGAGGCAGAAGCUGCGGUUCGGUUGAUGCAGGAAUCUGUCCGAAGAAUAAUCGAGGCAGAAGAAUCCAGAAUGGGCCUCAUCAUCGUCAACGCCUGGUACGGGAAGUUCGUCAACGACAAGAGCAGGAAGAGUGAGAAGGUGAAGGUGAUCGACGUGACGGUGCCCCUGCAGUGCCUGGUCAAGGACUCGAAGCUCAUCCUCACAGAGGCCUCCAAGUGGCCAAGUGUGCGCCUUCCAAGGGAAGAAGGCGCCGCCUGCAGCGGGGGAGCAGGUGGGCAUGUGCAUUUAGACACCUGUCUCGGGCGCCCCUCGAAUCAGGGUCUCUGUUCCAGGCUGGGCUGCCCGGGUUCUACGACCCGUGUGUGGGCGAGGAGAAGAGCCUGAAAGUGCUCUACCAGUUCCGGGGCGUCCUGCACCAGGUGAUGGCGCUGGACAGCGAGGCACUCAGAAUACCCAAGCAGUCUCACAGGAUCGAUACAGAUGGAUAAACUGCUUGAGAAAAAGAAUUACAGGAGGCUGCGAAGAUCUUUUCCUGGGCGUCUACAAAUUUGGAAGCAGGGAAACCCAGACGUCACAAGUUUAUUUUAUAUUAUUCCUAAGGAGGUGGUACCCUAUCAAUUAUGUGAAGGGACACAGACACCCGGUUUUGUGGGUGCUGCAGGCAGACUGAGGCAGCCCUGCCAGGACCAGAACCUCAGCACAGCCGUGUCUGUUUCCCAAGGAUCAUGUGCCCGAGGGAAGGGCCCUGGGCCCCGGGCGCCACCCCAUCGUUCUUGGUCUGUGAGGAGGCGCCGUGGAACAUCUGCCCUCGCACAGGACCGGGACUGCCUUUCCUGCCACCACCCUGACCUGGAAAGGAAGGAAAGACCAGUCUGCAGCCAAGCGAGCAUCUGGGUGGUGGACUUGCGGAAACCGCCUUUUCCUGCUGAAUAUGGAGGAGCGUGGGUUUAUAAAUCUGCUUUUUAUCUGAGAA